RNAcentral lists this ribosomal RNA (253 nucleotides) under uncultured bacterium. RNAcentral's name for it is "partial 16S ribosomal RNA". It matches the Rfam family "Bacterial small subunit ribosomal RNA", at positions 524 to 776 of the family's 1533-position model. The record is from RNAcentral.
UACGUAGGGGGCAAGCGUUGUCCGGAAUUACUGGGCGUAAAGGGCGCGUAGGUGGCCUGUUAAGUCGAACGUGAAAUCCCCGGGCUCAACCUGGGAGCUGCGCUUGUGACUUCAAGACUAGAGUACGGCAGAGGGGGGUAGAAUUCCACGUGUAGCAGUGAAAUGCGUAGAGAUGUGGAGGAAUACCAGUGGCGAAGGCGGCCUGCUGGGCCACGACCGACACUGAGGUGCGAAAGCGUGGGGAGCGAACCGG